RNAcentral lists this ribosomal RNA (651 nucleotides) under Acinetobacter sp. CUA-815. RNAcentral's name for it is "bacterial SSU rRNA". It matches the Rfam family "Bacterial small subunit ribosomal RNA", at positions 125 to 770 of the family's 1533-position model. Lineage: Bacteria; Pseudomonadati; Pseudomonadota; Gammaproteobacteria; Moraxellales; Moraxellaceae. The record is from RNAcentral.
UCUGGCUAUUAGUGGGGGACAACAUUUCGAAAGGGAUGCUAAUACCGCAUACGUCCUACGGGAGAAAGCAGGGGAUCUUCGGACCUUGCGCUAAUAGAUGAGCCUAAGUCGGAUUAGCUAGUUGGUGGGGUAAAGGCCUACCAAGGCGACGAUCUGUAGCGGGUCUGAGAGGAUGAUCCGCCACACUGGGACUGAGACACGGCCCAGACUCCUACGGGAGGCAGCAGUGGGGAAUAUUGGACAAUGGGGGGAACCCUGAUCCAGCCAUGCCGCGUGUGUGAAGAAGGCCUUAUGGUUGUAAAGCACUUUAAGCGAGGAGGAGGGUACUGGUAUUAAUACUACCAGGUACUGGACGUUACUCGCAGAAUAAGCACCGGCUAACUCUGUGCCAGCAGCCGCGGUAAUACAGAGGGUGCGAGCGUUAAUCGGAUUUACUGGGCGUAAAGCGUGCGUAGGCGGCUAAUUGAGUCGGAUGUGAAAUCCCCGAGCUUAACUUGGGAAUUGCAUUCGAUACUGGUUAGCUAGAGUGUGGGAGAGGAUGGUAGAAUUCCAGGUGUAGCGGUGAAAUGCGUAGAGAUCUGGAGGAAUACCGAUGGCGAAGGCAGCCAUCUGGCCUAACACUGACGCUGAGGUACGAAAGCAUGGGGAGCA